ACUCCUGCGGGAGGCAGCAGUGGGGAAUUUUGGACAAUGGGCGAAAGCCUGAUCCAGCAAUGCCGCGUGAGUGAAGAAGGCCUUCGGGUUGUAAAGCUCUUUUGUCAGGGAAGAAACGGUGAAAGCUAAUAUCUUUUGCUAAUGACGGUACCUGAAGAAUAAGCACCGGCUAACUACGUGCCAGCAGCCGCGGUAAUACGUAGGGUGCAAGCGUUAAUCGGAAUUACUGGGCGUAAAGCGUGCGCAGGCGGUUUUGUAAGUCUGAUGUGAAAUCCCCGGGCUCAACCUGGGAAUUGCAUUGGAGACUGCAAGGCUAGAAUCUGGCAGAGGGGGGUAGAAUUCCACGUGUAGCAGUGAAAUGCGUAGAUAUGUGGAGGAACACCGAUGGCGAAGGCAGCCCCCUGGGUCAAGAUUGACGCUCAUGCACGAAAGCGUGGGGAGCAAACAGGAUUAGAAACCGUGUAGUCCCAUGA
This 473-nucleotide ribosomal RNA is filed under the name uncultured organism. Its description in RNAcentral is "partial 16S ribosomal RNA". It matches the Rfam family "Bacterial small subunit ribosomal RNA", at positions 335 to 800 of the family's 1533-position model. The record is from RNAcentral.